AAUUGACUAAAUUUACAUAGUUCAUGAUGGACUAAAUUUGCAGGUAAAAUAUCGAAAACCCUAAUCAGUUUGUUUGUCCAGUUUGAGUGAUCGAUCAUGUUAGGUAAACCAUCAUGUUCACUGAAUUUGUAAUGGAGUUAACUACUCCAUUAGAUGUUUGUGGUUGCUAGAGAAGUGUUAUUGCCAAAUUUGCAGGUAAGUUGGCUACGAUUCUAUGUUCGAUUCAAUCUUCCAAGAACUAUUUUUGAAGACAUAUCAUUUAGAUUCCAUCAGUUUGUUUGAGCAUUUUUUCUUGAUUUUGUAUCUUGAUUUUGUUUUAGCCUUUUUUCUGUAUGAAGGUACUACUUUUCAUGACAGAGAACGAAGAUUUUGAUGUAGCUAUUCGUGAUUAUUUUCCGAAUCAUUAUUAUUUACGGUGAAAUCUUAGGGUUUUACAUGGGGUAAGCUUUUUAUACUUCUAAAAUAGAGUUUUCAACAGUUUUUGACAUACCCAAUUAAUCAAAGUCUUAAAAAUCCUACGGUAUUAGCAGGAUUUUGAGAAUCAAUCACUCGAAGAUAAUAAAAAUGUAUCUAUGACGACUACGAUGACAAAUUAAGUUAACUUUAUAGGUAAAUAAACUCUUCUAAUUUAGCUUUCUGUCUCGAACUCACUCACAUAUCUUAAAUUUGCAAUCAUCAUUAGCUAAAAUGAUUUUGUCUUCAAGUAUUGAAGGUUAAAAGAUAAGCCCUGAUAGGUAAAAACGCUUUAUAUCCUGUUCCAUUCUUUUUUAUUUGGAUUUUGAUUUUGCAGCUAAACAAUAAUAAUGAACAACUUCAAUGGUUUUAUAUCACCAGAUUACCCCAAUUUUGAUUAGGAUCCAUUAUAGGUGGAAGCUUAUUAUACGCCAAAUUAUAGCGAGAAGGUAGCCAGUUUGUUUUAGCCAAUUUUGAUUAGUAUCCAGAUUCCAUCAGUUUUUUCAAAGCAAAAAUUGGUUCUCUUCGAAAGUCUAUCCGGCCUACAGUGGUAUUUAUGCGUGUAACUCUCUAAUAGACAAUGCAUCCAGGUAUGCAUCUUUCCACCACCGCAGUGCUCUCUUUAAUGUUUUUCUAUUAGUAAACCUGGCGAAGUUAUUGUCGUGGUCAGUUAUGUUAAUGAAUCACACUCCUUUUCUUUUUUUCAUUUUUCUUUUUUAUUUCUCAUAUUGGUGAUAUAGACUCACUGGAAAAUGUUCAAGACCCAUUUAACUUACCAACUCUAUCACAAUUAAAUAAUAAUCAUUGAACUUAUUGAGGCAAAAUCUUUCUUAGCUCCAACGGGUAUGUAAGGAGUGCAUUCUUCUUUAUUUGAAAGUAAAAAGAUUAGCCAGAUUGUCAUUUAUGUUUUCUUUCCACUUAUCAUUAUGUCUGUUUUCAUGCUUCAAAAAAAAUAAAAAUAUGUGGGUUUUUUAUGUGUAGAUAGCAAAUGAAACUGGUGCAUUAUGCUUAACAAAGAACAAGCUUCAAAAAUAAUCCGAAGAUCUCGCAUGGCAAUUGCAGCCAGGGAAAAGAUUACGGGCAAACCUUCUUAAUAGGAAGUUAAAUGUUUUUUGCAUGCUUUUUAUGCUUUGGAUCAUUCAGUUUUAAAUACUAUCUUACUUCUUGGUUUUAAAGCACUAUCAGCAUGCUUUUUAUGCUUUGGAUCAUUCAGUUUUGUUGCAAGUGCAUCCGUUUCGUAUUCGCUUAAGAAUGCUUUAAGAAAAAUUGACAAGUGCAAGUAAGCUUAUUACUAUUCUACACUUAAAGGAGACUUGAAUGGAUUUCAAUUUGGCUGUCUAAUUCAAAAUUGAUAACUAACUAAUUUGGCACAUUAUUUUGUCCCAUCCUUUGAAAAUAAUUUCAUUAGUUUAUUUCUGAAAACCACGACAAUAUGGGUAUAUGGUUUUAUGCAGAGUAUGGCAUGGAUAUUGGAUGAAAAUUUGGAAAUUGUAUUGUUAUUCAGCCUUUAUUGUUAAUAGAAAAACCAAAUCCCUUCAGAUGUCGAGCGGUUGAAAGUUGGUAAACUUCAAGUGCUAGGUGAUCAGUCUUUUAUGUUAUCCCUCUUCUUUUCGGCUUGGUUUAUAUUAUGUUGAGUCGAUGUUGUUUAUGUAUUUUAGACCUGAAGUGGAGUCCAGCGUGAACGAGGAUGCGAUGGCGUAGGAGGUACUAUUAUUUUCUUAUAGUUUUAUUGUGGUAAUGAUCAUGUUUGGAUUUUCAGUUAUGAGGAUCUCUGGAUUAAAUAAUGAACAGUGGGCUAAUGGAGUAUUAGCUACAAUUAGACAUGCAUUCCCUUUUCAUUACUAAUGUAUUCGUGCAGGGCCAUCUAGGCGCUGAUAUAUACUUGUUUCAGGUAAUAUUGAGGAUCAGUGAAAUGGGUUCAUUAUAUGAGGAAAACUUAAACCAGGCUUUGGUGGCUAUUGUUUGUCCUUGAACAGCUUCGGGCCGGGUUUUUUUUCCGGGUCAGCUGCUUUUAUUGCUUAGUCCAUUUUCUGUGUUUUUUGGGUGUGCUGGCAUUCAAGAUCUUUGUAGUUCUGAGCUAUUGGAUUGGCGUAUUGAGUUUGCUUCUUCCGUGUAUAUUACGCGGUUUAUGGGUUCUACUGGUGGUUGACUAGACCGAUCAGGAUGGUUGUGAUGUAAGAUAGGUCUCUUAUGUCCGAUUUUUUUUGUGUGUGUUUCAGUAACAUAGCAUUGGUACCAACUGAACCAAUUUGUAAUGUACAGUAUUACUUAAAUAAGUGAAUUUGAUUUGAAAA
Long non-coding RNA from Papaver somniferum (opium poppy), 2747 nucleotides. RefSeq lists it as uncharacterized. The transcript has 2 exons. The record is from RefSeq and is a predicted model, not a curated record. NCBI's taxonomy places the organism in Eukaryota, Viridiplantae, Streptophyta, Magnoliopsida, Ranunculales, Papaveraceae.